This 257-nucleotide ribosomal RNA is filed under the name uncultured Glomus. Its description in RNAcentral is "partial 18S ribosomal RNA". It matches the Rfam family "Eukaryotic small subunit ribosomal RNA", at positions 624 to 886 of the family's 1831-position model. Lineage: Eukaryota; Fungi; Glomeromycota; Glomeromycetes; Glomerales; Glomeraceae. The record is from RNAcentral.
AAGCUCGUAGUUGAAUUUCGAGAUCAAAUUGUUGGUCGUGCCUUGGUACGUACUGGCAUUAUUGGUUUCUCCCUUCUGAAGAACCAUGAUGUCAUUAAUUUGGUGUCAUGGGGAAUCAGGACUGUUACUUUGAAAAAAUUAGAGUGUUUAAAGCAGGCUAAAGCUUGAAUAGAUUAGCAUGGAAUAACGAAAUAGGACGUUUGAUCUUAUUUUGUUGGUUUCUAAGAUCGACGUAAUGAUUAAUAGGGAUAGUUGGG